AAACAUAAAGCAUUUGCACAAUACGCAGCGGAUAGAAAUCAAAUCAAUCAUGCAAAACAUGUAACACAUUACAUGUAAAAUUAUUCAACAAGGUAAAACAUCCCGUCCCGAUGUUACAUCUAUCAGAGCAUGACCCACUAAGGAGACUACACUAGACUCCAAGCACUAGCUUCUACUCAAUCACUGCUCGUUACCUGAAAAAUAGUUGUAAGGGUGAGUUCCUCAAUCGAUAUAAAAAGCAUUAUAAAAUAUCAUGUAAUGCUAAGUAAAUAACACAUUAAUC
This 283-nucleotide long non-coding RNA is filed under the name Lathyrus oleraceus (garden pea). RNAcentral's name for it is "Pisum sativum (pea) long non-coding RNA (PSAT_LNC030112)". Lineage: Eukaryota; Viridiplantae; Streptophyta; Magnoliopsida; Fabales; Fabaceae. The record is from RNAcentral.